RNAcentral lists this ribosomal RNA (163 nucleotides) under Ajuga decumbens. Its description in RNAcentral is "5.8S ribosomal RNA". It matches the Rfam family "5.8S ribosomal RNA". From Rfam's summary of the family: 5.8S ribosomal RNA (5.8S rRNA) is a component of the large subunit of the eukaryotic ribosome. It is transcribed by RNA polymerase I as part of the 45S precursor that also contains 18S and 28S rRNA. Functionally, it is thought that 5.8S rRNA may be involved in ribosome translocation. RNAcentral also lists the same sequence under 1 other name. The record is from RNAcentral. Lineage: Eukaryota; Viridiplantae; Streptophyta; Magnoliopsida; Lamiales; Lamiaceae.
AAAACGACUCUCGGCAACGGAUAUCUCGGCUCUCGCAUCGAUGAAGAACGUAGCGAAAUGCGAUACUUGGUGUGAAUUGCAGAAUCCCGUGAACCAUCGAGUCUUUGAACGCAAGUUGCGCCCAAAGCCGUCAGGCCGAGGGCACGUCUGCCUGGGCGUCACG